GUUCCUGUGCAGCCUUACUGCUGAAGGAAGAAGAAAUAAUCUUAUGACAAGGAUAUAAGGAUGUGGCUUCAGACAAAACUGAACCAGUAUUUACUUGUGCAUGUACAUCAGGCUGAAUUUGUAAUGGUUUUCAUUUUGCCUACCCUACCAUUCAUCCACAAGCACAGACAUCCAGUGGCCGCAUUUGCAUGGACAAAUGAGCUACUAUACAAUUGUGUGUUGAAAAGUUUAUGGUCUCUAAAAAUAUGCCUUUUGAAAAUGUGACAAUAAACCUUCUAUGUUCUCACGUCCA
This 292-nucleotide long non-coding RNA is filed under the name Zonotrichia albicollis (white-throated sparrow). RNAcentral describes it as "lncRNA (ENSZALG00000017182.1)". The record is from RNAcentral. Lineage: Eukaryota; Metazoa; Chordata; Aves; Passeriformes; Passerellidae.